CUGAAAUUCUUUUUUUUUUUUUUUUUUAAGACGGAGUCUCGCUCUGUUGCUCAGGCUGGAGUGCAGUGGCGCGAUCUGGGCUCACUGCAAGCUCCACCUCCCGGGUUCAUGCCAUUCUCCUGCCUCAGCCUCCCAAGUAGCUGGGAUUACAGGUGCCUGCCACCACACCCAGCUAAUUUUUUGGUAUUUUUUAGUAGAGACAGGGUUUCACUAUGUUAGCCAGGAUGGUCUUGAUCUCCUGACCUCAAGAUCUGCCCACCUCAGCCUCCCAAAGUGUUGGGAUUACAGGUGUCAGCCACCACGCCCGGCCUGAAAUUCUUUAUUUCUAACAAGGAAAUCUCAGGGAUUUUAAUGCUGAUGGUCUGAGGGCCACAUUUGGAGGAACAAGCCUCUGGCUUGGUAUAGUACUGGGACUGUUCUAAGGUGUUCCGUACUGCAUAUAAUACCUAAAACUGGCCGGGCGCGGUGGCUCACACCUCUAAUCCCAGCACUUUGGGAGGCCAAGGCGGGCGGAUGACCUGAGGUGAAGAGUUCAAGACCAGCCUGACCAACAUUGUGAAACCUCAUCUCUACUAAAAAUAAUAAUAAUAAAAAAAACAGCUGGACGUGGUGGUGCGCCUGUAGUCCCAGCUAGUUGGGGAGACUGAGGCAGGAGAAGAAUCCCUUGAACCCAGGAGGUGGAGGUUGCAGUGAGCCAAGAUCGUGCUGCUGCACUCCAGCCUGGGCAACAGAGGGAGACUCCAUCUCAAACAACAAAAAAACACCCCUACUGAAAAUAACAGGAAGACGAACAGAAGUGUAUAUUACAUUAUUAUUAUGAACAGUAAUAUAUCUAGCUGUAUGUUUAACACUACAGUGGCAAUUCAUUGUUAGUUUAUUAUUGUGAAAAAACAUGUUCCCUUAUUGCACUCUUAUUUCAGGCUUAGAUUAUAAUUAGCUUCUAGUUAUAUGCUUUUCCUGUUUUGAUGUUUGUGACUAUUACCCAAUUUAGUAAUAAAAAUGUAUCAAACAUGAUUUACUCAUAGAUAUUUAGAAGAAAAAGAUAAAUGUUAUUUGAUUCCAGGGGUAAUUAGAGAAUGAAAUUAGAGGCUGGGCUCAGUGGCUCACACCUGUAAUCCCAGCACUUUGGGAGGCCGAGGCUGGAGGAUCACUGAGGUCAGGAGUUCAAGACCAGCCCUGCCAACGUGGUGAAACCCUGUCUCUACUAAAGAUUAAAAAAUUAGCCGGGCGUGGUAGUGCAUGCCUGUAGUCCCAACUAUUUGGGAGACUGAGGCAAGAGCAUCGCUUGAACCCGGGAGGUGGAGGUUGCCACUGCACUCCAGCCUGGGUAACAGAGCAAGGCUUUGUCUCAAAAAAAAAAAAAGAAAAAAGAAAAUGAAAUUAGAUUAUCUAGGAAUAAUGUGGUGGCAUUUUCUAUGAAUGAAUUUCAAACCAAGAUCUGACCAACUCCAAGCCCACUUUUUUUUUUUUUUUUGAGAUGGAAUCUCACUCUGUUGCUUAGGCUAGAGAGCAGUGGCGCGAUCUCAGCUCACUGCAAGCUCCGCCUCCCAGGUUCACACCAUUCUUCUGCCUCAGCCUCCUGAAUAGCUGGGACUACAGGUGCCUGCCACCACACCUGGCUAAUUUUUUUGUAUUUUUAGUAGAGACGGGGUUUCACCAUGUUAGCCAGGAUAGUCUCAAUUUCCUGACCUCGUGAUCCGCCUGCCUCAGCCUCCCAAAGUGCUGGGAUUACAGGCGUGAGCUACCGCGCCCGGCCCACUUUUUUUUUUCAUUUGUUUGUUUUUGUUUUUUUGAGACUGAGUCUCCUCUGUCAUCCAGGCUGAAGAACAGUGGUGCGAUCUCGGCUCACUGCAACCUCUGCCUCUGGGACUCAAGCGAUUCUCCCGCCUCAGUCUCCCAAGUAGCUGAGAUUACACGUGUGCGCCACCAUGCCUGGCUAAUUUUUUAUAUUUUUAGUAGAGAUGGGGUUUCACCAUGUUGGCCAGGCUGGUCUUGAGCUCCAAACCUCAGGUGAUCUGCCCACCUUGGCCUCCCAAAGUGCUAGGAUUACAGGCGUGAGCCACCACACCUGGCCCCCAGCCCAUGUUUUUAGCCAUUGUGCUGCUAUACAGUGUUCUGCCUGAGUCUGGAGUGACCAAAUACCUGAGUGCUAUUAGAAAUUUUCAGUAAAUCGCAUAAAUUAGGACAGUCUCAGGCUAAGUGUUCAUUCUGCUUUUACUCCAUUUCCAAUCUAUUACCAAUCAUGCACAUUUUGCCACACUGUAAAGCAUAGUUUAUCUUCUCAGCACCUGCAUGAAAAUUUUGGUUGGGCGAAUACAUGUUGGCCCUUUUGGAUAUUAGGAUUGAGAUUUGUCUUACCUGCUAUAAUAUCUAUCUUGAUUUUCCAUUCUGCAGCUUUCUUUUGAACAUGCUGAACAUAAAUAAUAUGUUGUUAUGAGCUGAUUUUUAAAUAAUGAUUUUUUAAAAUUGCUUUUUACUAAUACUUGAGAUUGAGUUUUUAAGCUUAAAAUUUCAUUAGAAUCUAGACCCUUAUAAAAAUUUCAAUUGAAUGGAUAGUAUUCUGAAAAUAAUAAAUCAAUUUCAAUACAUUUAACAAUCUGAACCAAAUCACACAAUAAAUCCAAGUGAUAGAAAGCUACUCAUGCACCACAUAAUGCCAUUUGGGGUUAUCUAGGGACUGCAUAUAUUUUGGUAGUCCCAUAAAAUUAUAAAUGGAGCUGAAAAAUUGCUAUUGCCUAAUGAUGUAGCUAUCUUGACAUCACAGCACAACACAUUACCUUCUUGGUGUUUAUAUAUGUUUAGAUCAAAAGAAUACCAUUGUGUUACAAUUGCCUGUAGUAUUCAAUACAGUAAUAGGUUGACAGGUUUGUAGCCUAGGAACAACAGACUAUAACCACAGAGCCUCGGUGGUCCACUCUAUGUUUGCACAAUGAUGAAAUCACCUCAGAAUGCAUUAGUCAGAACAUAUCCCUGUUGUUAAAGGAUGCAUGACUAUUUCAGAAAUCUAUCAAAGAUGUGUAAUGUUCUCAUAUGGUUUCUGUAGCAUUAUUUCAUUGAUAUAUACAGCUAGCUAGCCUAGAAACCAUUUGGCAGAGAUAUAGGUACAUGGGGAAUUCAGUUCAUGCAGUAAAACUGAGUUUUAUAAAAUUCAUGUUAUGCCAAGACUAUACUUUCAGGGAUCAUUUCUAUAGUUCGUUACUAGAGAAGUUUCUCCGAAAGUGUAGAGCACUGUAUCAUGAAAAUGGCCAUACUACCCAAGGUAAUUUAUAGAUUCAAUGCUAUCACCAUCAAGCGACCACUGACUUUCUUCACAGAAUUGGAAAAAACUACUUUAAAUUUCAUAUGGAACCAAAAGAGCCCACAUAGCCAAGACAAUCCUAAGCAAAAAGAACAAAGCUGGAAGCACCAUGCUACCUGACUUCAAACUAUACUACAAAGCUACAGUAACCAAAAUAGCAUGGUACUGGUACCAAAACA
Molecule: long non-coding RNA, 3477 nt
Filed under: Homo sapiens (human)
Lineage: Eukaryota; Metazoa; Chordata; Mammalia; Primates; Hominidae
Description: HSALNT0042849
Rfam family: Small nucleolar RNA U3 (bases 3161-3239)
Source: RNAcentral